Musa acuminata AAA Group (dessert banana) is the source of this 1318-nucleotide RNA transcript. It is a transcript of the gene named large ribosomal subunit protein uL29-like, with no coding region annotated. The transcript has 6 exons. NCBI's taxonomy places the organism in Eukaryota, Viridiplantae, Streptophyta, Magnoliopsida, Zingiberales, Musaceae. The record is from RefSeq and is a predicted model, not a curated record.
GGUGGAGGAGAUGGAGACGUCGGAAACAGCAACGGCCACCUCGCCACGCCGGGUAAAGCCGAACUUCUCGAACAGGAUGAUCGCCCGGAAGUCGGAGGAGAUCUUUAGGUUCUAAUCUCCGCCAUACACGAAGAGAUCGAAGCGAGUACGGUGAGGAAGAGGAGCAGGACAAUAUGAGGCCGCAGAGAUCCCGCCAUGGCGACCGAACCUGAAUCCUUGGGGCGACGUCGGCGGGGUAUUAUCGAAACAGAGGACGGGGAGUCGGUGGGCCGGCCAUCGCCUUCACGCUUAAGCCUGUCCGUUAGAUUAACUUUAAGAUGGGUGACGAUUUUAGUACAGGAAUUCUCGCCGGAAUGCAUUCCAGCAACCCAAUCAGCCAAUACGCCAUCACAAUGACUUCGUGGACCCAGUCGAAGUAUGUAGCCCUAUGUAAUGCCCAAUUUAGGCCCAAUAAACACAAUCGACGGCGGGGAUCUCGCGGCUAGGGUCUCAAAGGGGCUUGCGCCGCUGUAUGGGUUUAGGGGCUCGGUCGAUCCGGCGAAGAGCCGCGGAGAAGAAGACAUCCCGAUCCAAUGGGGAGGAUUAAGGUUCACGAGCUCCGGGGGAAGACUAAGGCGGAGCUGCAUAACCAGCUCAAGGACCUCACGAACGAGCUCAGCCUCCUCCGCGUCGCCAAGGUCACUGGCGGUGCUCCCAACAAGCUCUCCAAGAUCAAGGUGGUGAGGCUGUUGAUUGCGCGGGUGCUGACGGUCACCUCGCAGAAGCAGAAGGCAACGCUGAGGGAGGCAUACAAGAAGAAGACGCACAUCCCGCUCGACCUCAGGCCUAAAAGGACUCGUGCGAUCCGCUGUCGCCUUUCCAAGUAUCAGGUUGAGAAACUUCUUCCAACCUCGAUCUUUGUGCAGGUGGCAAAGCUCGACGUUUCCACCUCAGAGGCACCUCGGCUAUCCCUAUGCACAUAGGCCAGAACAUGUCGAGCUGUCCAGGACAUCAAUGAUAUUUUCCUAUAACGGAUGCCUUGAAGACAGAACAUCAGAAGAAAAAGGAGAUGUACUUCCAGGAGGUAUGCAAUCAAAGCCUGGAUCGAAUUAAGGUCUGGUCUAGUCCAAGUUCUUAAUUGUCGUCUGUGAUGCUUUCUUUUAAUUCAAUGGAGUAGUUUAUAGGAGUGAUUUAGGUCUUGAACCAUAAAAUUGUUUUAUGGUGGAACAUCAUUUAUUGUUGUUAUUACUGCUCUGCUUCCUGCAAGUUGAGUUGUUGACUUUCGAGUAAAGAAUGAAUGGUUUGCCUCAUCCUCAAGAUCAUGAGGAUGCUGUGGUUA